AAUUCAAAAAAAAAAAAAAAAAAAAAAAAAAAAACAAAAAAAAAAGAAAACACAUUUGAAUAACCAGAAAGUUGAACUUCAACGAGAGGGGUUGCUCAAAUGGUAAGCGUCCUCUACCUCCAACCCUGAAAUAUUGUGUUCGAGUACUUCUAGUAAAACUAUUUUAAUAUACACAACUAUAUUUCUGCACACAAAAAAUUACAAUAAAAAUUCAAAUUUUUUUUUCUCAUUAUGGCUCUAAAUGAAUUGGUAAAACUACAUUUCUUGAUCCCCUUACAUGUCCAAAUGAAAAAAAUGAUCUUUUUACUCUACUACAACUACUUUCAAAGGGACUAAUAUCAGUAACUUGCCUUUGUUGCUGCAUUAUAAUCUCCUGAAUUGCUACGUAAAGUUGUCGAUCCGUCGCUGAAUCCAUUGAAAAUGAUCUUCUUAUAGGCUGAAUUGAUGCAAAUUCAUCAUCUGUUUUCCUCAUGUUAAUGCAUUCAUCUCCCAUGCUUGUUACAUGAUUGAACUUUUUGCAUUUUCUUGAUGCAACUUUUUUUUCUAUUUCCCCUGAAUUCAAACUUUCUUGAUCAGGUCGGCCUGAUGUACUAAAACUCUCGCUAUUGUUUGCUAUUUCUAUGACGACAUAAUCUUCAUCUCUAAAAUUUUCAAGAUUUGGAUCUUGAUGAGGUGUUGAACUUGGAG
This 687-nucleotide long non-coding RNA is filed under the name Capsicum annuum. RNAcentral's name for it is "long non-coding RNA (CANN_LNC005924)". Lineage: Eukaryota; Viridiplantae; Streptophyta; Magnoliopsida; Solanales; Solanaceae. The record is from RNAcentral.